This 1848-nucleotide long non-coding RNA is filed under the name Aplysia californica (California sea hare). RNAcentral describes it as "uncharacterized LOC118477410". The record is from RNAcentral. Lineage: Eukaryota; Metazoa; Mollusca; Gastropoda; Aplysiida; Aplysiidae.
GUGACACCAGCCAUCCAUGCCCAGGAGCUGUUUUAGCCUUGUUAUCUACCUUUGGUCACCCUCUCUCACACACCUUCCAGUCUUCCACUUGAGGCUCCCUGUUGGUCCGGCUCAUUCCCCACAGUGCCAGGUUCGCCGGUAAGUCCCCCCUCCGUUUUAGACACUUUCCCUCUCUCCUCUCUCCAGUCACACCUUAGAACCCUCCAAUUGAGGCCCCUGCCCGCUCCUGCCCAACCCCCGCUCCCCCACUGCAGGGAUCUGUUUUGUGAUUAUUACAACAGGCCCCCGCCAUCCGUCCCCCGUCCACCUAUUACUUAUGUACACAGCUUUCACCACUGUGCUAAGGUUAUAUAGUUUUCUGUUCAUCAUGUCUAAUCAUAAGAAAUCAAUUAGAACUGACAAUCGUUGGCCGUGUAUGUUUGGCCAUUUGUUAAUACUUGACAAACUCAAAGUUUAUAUGAAAAAAUAUGGUCUAAUAUCCGCCUAUUGAUAUCAUUUUUUCGUGUUUAUGUACAUUUGACUACAUUAUUUUUGCUUACUCCCCUUUGUGAUGAUUGAAUUGUUUACCUUGACUGGGAAAAUGAAAGACAUUGUGAGGGAAUGGAGGGAGGGGGCGGAAGGUGGGGUGGAUGUGUGUGUGUGUGUGUGUGUGUGUGUGUGUGUGUGUGUGUGUGUGUGUGUGUGUGUGUGUGUGUGUGUGUGUGUGUGUGUGUGUAUUUAUGUGUUUGUGUUUUUGGGGAGGGGGGGAAUUGGAGGUUUGGAGGGCGGCAUCUAGGAACCACAUAGCUCACGAUCAGCUUACUGUCCUCUGCACAUAUUCACGCUUAACAAACUAUGACAGGUCGGCGGACACAUACCGGAGUGUCCUCUCCUUUCUCUCAGUCCGGUCCCCACUAUGUAAGGGGAUAAGGGAAGAGGGGGAGAGAGAGAAAGAAAGAGCGAUAGAUGGAUAGAUAGAUAGAUAGAUAGAUAGAGAGAGAGAGAGAGAGAGAGAGAGAGAGAGAGAGAGAGAGAGAGAGAGAGAGAGAGAGAGAGAGGGGGGGGCACGGAAGAGAUAGACAGACAGACCGUUGGACUACCUGACGACAUUCCCUCUCUAUCCACCUUUGACCAUCAAGAAUUUAUAUAUAGUGACACCAGCCAUCCAUGUCCAGGAGCUGUUUUAGCCUUGUUAUCUAUCUUUGGUCACCCUCUCUCACACACCUUCCAAUCCUCCACUUGAGGCUCCCUGUCGGUCCGGCUCAUCCCCCACAGUGCCAGGUUCGCCGUCUUCCACUUGAGGCUCCCUGUUGGUCCGGCUCAUCCCCCACAGUGCCAGGUUCGCCGGUAAGUCCCCCCUCCGUUUUAGACACUUUCCCUCUCUCCUCUCUCCAGUCACACCUUAGAACCCUCCAAUUGAGGCCCCUGCCAGCUCCUGCCAAACCCCCCCACCGCAGGGAUCUGUUUUGUGAUUAUUACAACAGGCCCCCGCCAUCCUUCCCCCGUCCACCUAUUACUUAUGUACACAGCUUUCACCACUGUGCUAGGGUUAUAUAGUUUUCUGUUCAUCAUGUCUAAUCAUAAGAAAUCAAUUAGAACUGACAAUCGUUGGCCGUGUAUGUUUGGCCAUUUGUUAAUACUUGACAAACUCAAAGUUUAUAUGAAAAAAUAUGGUCUAAUAUCCGCCUAUUGAUAUCAUUUUUUCAUGUUUAUGUACAUUUGACUACAUUAUUAAUGCUUACUCCCCUUUGUGAUGAUUGAAUUGUUUACCUUGACUGGGAAAAUGAAAGACAUUGUGAGGGAAUGGAGGGAGGGGGCGGAAGGUGGGGUGGAUGUGUGUGUGUGUAUGUGUGUGUAUGUGUGUGUGUG